AGGCUGAUUAGUGGCGCACGGGUGAGUAAUGCAUAGAUAACAUGCCCUUUAGUUUGGGAUAGCCACUAGAAAUGGUGAUUAAUACCAGAUACUACCCUACGGGGGAAAGAUUUAUCGCUAAAGGAUUGGUCUAUGUCCUAUCAGCUUGUUGGUGAGGUAAAGGCUCACCAAGGCAAUGACGGGUAUCCGGCCUGAGAGGGUGAACGGACACACUGGAACUGAGACACGGUCCAGACUCCUACGGGAGGCAGCAGUAGGGAAUAUUGCUCAAUGGGGGAAACCCUGAAGCAGCAACGCCGCGUGGAGGAUGAAGGUCUUAGGAUUGUAAACUCCUUUUGUUAGAUGAAGAUA
This 351-nucleotide ribosomal RNA is filed under the name uncultured Helicobacter sp. Its description in RNAcentral is "bacterial SSU rRNA". It matches the Rfam family "Bacterial small subunit ribosomal RNA", at positions 85 to 450 of the family's 1533-position model. Lineage: Bacteria; Pseudomonadati; Campylobacterota; Epsilonproteobacteria; Campylobacterales; Helicobacteraceae. The record is from RNAcentral.